CGUGGUAACUUGCGUAGCAGAAUAACAUCGUCAGCGGUCGGUCGCAGUCAGCCAUCAUCGUGAGAUGCGAAGCGAGUCGUAUGCGUUCUAUUCGUCUAAGUACAUAAAAAUAACGUAGCGGAACGUUGAAAAACGUUAUCAAGAAGAAUGCAUCCCAUCAUGGAGUUAGGAACAAGUGUACCGGCGUUUCUAGGUAAACUCUGGAAGCUCGUUGAGGAUCCUGAAACCGACGACCUUAUUUGUUGGGCACCCAAUGGAAGAAGUUUCUUUAUAAGGAAUCAAGCGCAGUUUGCCCGGGAAUUAUUGCCACAUUAUUACAAACACAAUAAUAUGGCUAGCUUUGUUCGACAAUUAAAUAUGUAUGGUUUUCAUAAAAAAGUAUCAGUGGACUUGGGUGGUCUGAAAUGUGACAGAGAUGAAAUGGAGUUUGCUCACCAGUAUUUUUGUAAAGGGCACCCAUAUUUAUUGGAACAUAUUAAAAGAAAAAUAGCAACAAAUAAAGGUCAAGAUCCAACACAAGCUCCAAUGAAACCUGAAUUGAUGAAUAAAAUGUUGUCAGAAGUAAGAAGUAUGAGAGGGCGUCAAGAACAUCUUGACUCCAGAUUAGGAGCAAUGAAGAGAGAGAAUGAGGCCUUGUGGAGAGAAUUAGCAAUGCUUAGGCAAAAGCAUCUUAAACAACAACAAAUUGUUAAUAAACUGAUUCAUUUCCUUGUUACAUUGGUGCAACCAUCUAGGAGUGGCGGGCUCUCUGUGAAAAGGCGAUAUCCUUUAAUGAUCGAUGAUUCCACAAGACAGAGAAAUAAACAGGCAAAAAUUUCUAAGGCACAGGUAUCCCCUACGGGUCCUGUCAUUCAUGAGUUAGAUGUAACUGAUUCAGACCUUGAAUCUCAAUAUAUUGUGGCAGAAAUGUUGGAAAACCAUGGAAGUCCAGCAGUGGAGAGUCCUGAACAUACUGAACCAUCAGGUUUUGAAGAUUCAGGUAUGGAAACUGUACGUUUGGGCAACAUUAAUGACCAGUCGCCUAAUGAGAUUCAAUUAGUUGAAUCUCAAAAUAUGGAACCAAAAAAGAAACGUGUUUGCAAAGGGAAAAAGAAGAGGAAAAACAAGAUGCCUGUAAAAAUUUUGAUUCCACCAGCAGAGAACGGCGAAAAACCCAGGGAAGAAACACUUAUGGUCGAAAUGUCACCCGAGGAUUCGGCAGUGUCGAUCGAAUUAUUGGAAAGUAACGUGACCAGCUCUUCGAAGCCGAUUCCAUUAGCCACCGUGAGAAGCUCCAAACUUGCAGCCAUGGCAGCCAACAUGAGCAACAACAAUGAUCUUGAACUGGAUCUAGAUCUUGACAGUUCUGCUUGUGCGGAAGAAGAUCCAAAACAGAAUGAUACUUCCCUUGUAAAACUCGAAGAUAUUUUAAUUAUACCAGAGAUCAUUGACGAAGAACAAGUUAAGAGCCAUCAAACAGAAGGUCAUAGCAAUAAUGGCAACAGCAGCGAUCCAAUAGAAAAAGAAAUUGAACAGUUGUCUUAUGACAGCGACGAAGACCAAAAUCUCGAAGGAAACGGGGACGAAGCGCACCAGUCCACAACAUCCGAAAACUCGAGAGACAAUGAGGAAGAAGGCACUCGCAGUUUGUCUAAAGACUUGAGUUGUGUCAGCGCUGCAGGAUUAUCAGAGACAGCUUACAGGUUAGAAUCAACAGAGGAAGUGGAUGUUCACCUAGAAACGAUGCAAUCCGAACUGGAGAACUUACGGGAGAUUUUACGUGGAGAAGGUUACAGUAUCGAUGCCAACACAUUAUUAGGAUUAUUUGGAGCAGAUGAUCCAAUGUCGUUUGGGGUCCCAAUGAAUCCUGAUUUGGAUCCACAUUCUAAUCGUGAAAAAGACGACGAUGACCACCCAGGUGGAUCAUUCAACGGAACGGAGGGAGGAGAACUGAUGGCGUACAAUCCUUCAUCAAACCUUUUAGAUUUUGGUGAUAUCUUCUUGGGUGCAACAACAUCGUCACCAGACGCGGAUGUUACGGGUACAUCAGUUGCCAACAAUUACAUCAAUCCUGAUCCUUUGGAUUUGGCAGAUUGUAAGACGUCUCUGCUUGACUCGCUGGCAAAGGCGAAUAAUUCAAAUUCUAUGACUUCAUAAAAGGUCUUUCUUAUGCUUCAUCACUUAUGUCUCUAACAACGCAAGCAAUUUGAGUUAUGCACUGGUAUUAAGCCUCGGAGGAAAGACUAUGGAUAUCCUAUCUAGGCAAUCAGUAAAUCCUUCAUUUUAGUUUACAAAGCGAAAUAGUAACUAAGCCCAUAUAUGCAAAGUAUUGUUAAGAGUGCGGUUUACAUUUGAGACACUAAUGUUGGACAAGACGCGGUGAGAACCGCCUGAACCUUCAGAGUUUCACAAGGCACAGAAUUGAAAUCGACUAUUCUAAUCUGUACGUCUUCGUGAACAUAUUAUCAGAAUACCAUUAAUCGUUGCAGAUCUUGAUCCAAAGUCAAAUAACCUCGUUCUUAUUUCUCAUCAAUACAUUCAGAGAAGUAUUCACCAGUAAUCGGGGAAGUAAAUAAGCAAUGCAGUUGGCUUUCCCGCAACAACUGCACCGCACCUCUUAUUUUUAACCACCUUUAUACGAAACUGUCUAUUUGAGAGAAUGAUAGAAGUAGCAACCGUCGAGCCUCGUAACAUUUACAAAUUAAUAAUUUCUUGCGCGCAUAUCGCAAGAUGCAUCGUCGUUAACUGGCUAACGCAAUGGUAGCAGUAGACUAUGUCUUUUUCUAGUUCUUCAUGAAAUCGAAAUCGUACACCCUAAAGUUUUUAUUAAAAUAACCAUGCCACUUAGAAGAUUCCACGUACAGUCGAGCAUCGAUUUUCCGUAAUAAUGAGGAACCCGCCAAGAUCUCGAACGUUUGAAAACUUUAGUAAUUUAGGGGCGUUCAUUACUGGCUGCUGUUCAAAUUGUUUUCAGGAGGCAUCUUGAAAAGGGUCAUUCCUAUUAAAGUGCGUCCAAACAUGAGCAUUCGUGUGCGUAAACAUGUUCACGUCUAGACCCACCUUUAAGAAAAUAUAAAUAUUUUCACCAUUUGUUACGAAAGGGAUGUACUGUGAUACUCUAAUGUUUAUUUGUAGGGAUACCCUCGUAUAGUAACGCGUAAUGUCAGCGAUUGGAGAAAAGCCGUUUUAAUUUUCUUGAACGGAUUAAGGAAAAACAUUCGUAUAAAGAUUUGUUGGCCUCUUUGCCGCAGCGUUACUAUAUCAGGGACUACUACACGUUUCUUUGGUACUCUUAAGAAAAACUAUUGCGUAAGGUUUAUAUUUUCGGAUACUUAUGUGUAGACUGUACAUAAUUGAUCCACGUAGUAAUAACAUCAGGCAUGUACAAGCUACGAUGGUUAUUAAUUGAGGCUUUGCAGUAAUAAGAUGUGAAUUAGAUAGUUAUGUGAAUAAAAGAGUAAGUUAUGAACUGCCCGAAUGUGUACAAUUCCUUAUACUCGGUAUAUGUUGGUCUUACGUAAAUAAUAUUAAUGUCCUUGAAUUAGCGCGAAGAGAAAGCAUCUAAAUUACUCCUGUAUUGUUCAGUGUACUUUGGUAUACUGAACAUUGACCACUGAUUGCUGAAACACUUGAACAUGCCUGAAUUACACUUUAGUUCGAUUUCUUGGUGUCUUGGAUAAUCGAUGCUGUGAGCUGUACGCUCAUAACAUAUUCUCCAUAAUUAAUUUCGGGACUGAAGGUAAUCAUUUUCUACGGAUCUUAGGUUGGGUUUUUAGUUUCUUUUUUUUUUGUAUGUAUAAUUAGAAAUCAUACGUUGAAAAUUCAAAGGUUAAAGUCACUUGUAGCCUUUGUCCGUUAUUCAAUUGACUUUUGUUCCUACGAAGUUUCAAUCCAAGUGGGAUGGCCUCUUGCUAAUGGAGAGUUUUAAAGUUAUUACUCUUCCGUGAGUCCAUGGGAAAAUUUCAAAGCAUGAGAUCCCCUGUAAAUAAUACACAUUCUGCAUAAUAUACAUGCAAUUCGUUUACUUAUUAUGUGAAGUCAGAAGUAUUUCAUAUUUAAUAUAUUUUAGAUAUUUCUACGUAUAAACGAAAUGUUUGAAAAAUCAUUACAAAUAUUAAAAUGUGUCUUAACCCUUUCGGUACUAAGAAUGACGAUAGUUACCUGGUAUGAAACAAACCAUAUACUGGAAGCAUUAUGUGCUAAAAAAGAAGUUCCCAUACUAUUUCAACGCUCUUUUCGUCCGAUCUCUCCAUUAAGAAGGGGUUAAAAUAUCACUAAUAGCCAAAUCAUACAUUGCAUCGAUGAAUGCAUUCGAUCCAUACACAAAGUGAAUUUAGUGUAACGACAUAGCAGAAAUAGUGAAAUGUAUCAUUACUGGUGAGGACGACUUCCAAUUACUCCUAAGUAAGGAUGUGCAUUUUAUAUCCGUCGCGCGCGCGCGUCUGAUGACCUUUUUACUAAUUAAUAAAAACAAAAAACUCGAACAGAAGUAAAAGUUUCACUGGGUUCACUUUGUUAUGAUAACUUUCAUUUGUGAUAAAUAAGACUUUUAAUACUUGUUCGUUUUUAAUGCCAUUGCAGCAGUACCUCUUACGCUGUCAUCGUUUUUUUUUUAAUUUCAUACUGUGGAUAUCAAAUGAACAUUUUUUCAUUUGCAUUAUCUAAUAAGCUGUAUAACUUUCUAAAUAUAUGUCAAGGGUCAUCUCACCAUUCGGGUUCAUUUAACGCAUUAAUAUAUUUGAAUUCAUUAUAUGAACAGUUAAACAUUGCAAAUAUUCAUUUGUUUUGUCUCUGGAAAGUUAGAUCCACACAGGUUUUUAUUUUUUUUCCAUUUUCUCUGGUGCGUAAUGUGUAUCGAUUUGAUUUUUUGUUCUACCCAUUAUAUAUUGUGAACAUACUGAUACGAAUUUACAUUGACGCCAUUGCUGAUACGUAGAAGUAUUAUAAACCACGAUAAUACUUUUCAAUAUCCUUUCAUAUUUUUUAUAUCAAUCUUUUCUGCGCUCUUAAGGGUUACAUGUAUUAUUAUUCAUUCAAUAUAAUUGGCACUGAUUAAUCAAAUAUAUUAUCAAAUUCUAUGCCCUAAAAUGAAAAUGGUAUAAAAGGCAGAUUCAUCAUUAUUAAAUUAAGCGUCUCAUUGAAAUAGUAAACUUCUUCUGGUUGAAAAAUAAUCAUAAAUGCAUGAUCUGAGAGUAAAUGUAACACAUGUUGUGCAUAUGUUAAGAAGUGAAAUAGUGCCCUUUGUUCUCAUAAGCUGUCUCCAAGACAUUGCAUAAAUUUACAAUUUAAUAAAAUCAGUAAUUUUACCGUUUAUGGAUCUUUUCUAGCAACCAGAUAAUCACUUUAAAUACAGUCAAAACCAUAACAAAACACGAUUAUUUCAUUGCAAAAUUGAGUAAUGGCAAAGGUUUUAAUUUACAUAAGACCUUUUGUUAUCGAUGAGUGACAUGAUAAUGACAUCUACAAAGACAGUAAUACAAUUAAACCAUCCCGGAAUAUUUAUGGUUACAGGUCGCGUAGUGAUUUUGUAUAUAAUUAUUAAUUGCAUAAACUUGUAGAUGUAUCAUAUGUUUACAAAAUUGUAAAAUAAAAUAAAAUGUGUUACGAAA
RNAcentral lists this unclassified non-coding RNA (5588 nucleotides) under Orussus abietinus. Its description in RNAcentral is "heat shock factor protein, transcript variant X7". The record is from RNAcentral. Lineage: Eukaryota; Metazoa; Arthropoda; Insecta; Hymenoptera; Orussidae.